This 497-nucleotide ribosomal RNA is filed under the name uncultured bacterium. Its description in RNAcentral is "partial 16S ribosomal RNA". It matches the Rfam family "Bacterial small subunit ribosomal RNA", at positions 28 to 507 of the family's 1533-position model. The record is from RNAcentral.
GAUGAACGCUGGCGGCGUGCCUAAUACAUGCAAGCCGAGCGAACGGACGAGAAGCAUGCUUCUCUGAAGUUAGCGGCGGACGGGUGAGUAACACGUGGAUAACCUACCUAUAAGACUGGGAUAACCUCGGGAAACCGUAGCUAAUACCGGAGAAUAUUUUGAACCGCAUGGUUCAAAAGUGAAAGAAGGUCUUGCUGUCACUUAUAGAUGGAUCCGCGCUGCACUCGCUAGUUGGUAAGGUAACGGCUUACCAAGGCAACGAUGCAUAGCCGACCUGAGAGGGUGAUCGGCCACACUGGAACUGAGACACGGUCCAGACUCCUACGGGAGGCAGCAGUACGGAAUCUUCCGCAAUGGGCGAAAGCCUGACGGAGCAACGCCGCGUGAGUGAUGAAGGUCUUCGGAUCGUAAAACUCUGUUAUUAGGGAAGAACAUAUGUGUAAGUAACUGUGCACAUCUUGACGGUACCUAAUCAGAAAGCCACGGCUAACUUCGUG